CCUUGCCUCACGGAUUUUGCCUUCUUGCCUGCCCCUUGUCUGAUGGAUUGGAUUUCUGGAUUUUGUCUCUGUUUCUGUCCCUGGAUUUACGCCUCAGCCUAACCACUGGUUUAUUCAGCCUGAGCCCGCCUGGCUCUCUAGUCCACCAGGAAUUAUUGUCAAGAGGACAAUCACAGCUCUCUGUGUUCCUGCUUCAGCUGAUUCCUCGGAGGAUAUGGACCAGUCGGCAAUCCGACUUCAGUCUGUUGGACGCUUCCUCAUUAACUGUCUGGAUCACUUCCUCUUCUGGAUUCUGUGCCUCAUCCCCAGACUGAGAAGUGGUUCCUGGAAGCUGACUGCUGUUCUCCUGCUCUCUGAUCCUGAGUUUCUGAAUAAACCUUUUAACUUAUCACUUUGUUUGGCUGAAUUUGGGUUCUCUGUCUCUGGUCGUGAUAGAGACACAGAGACAGCAACAUGUAGAAAGUUUGUCUGACUUUUUACUAACUGAAAGAGAAAGAUGUUACAUGUCACCCUGUUUCCACUGACUGUGGUUCUGACCCAGUUUGGACCUGUUUUGUGUGACAGGUUGUGAGCCCUGCUCCAACCAGAAUAACCCAGACAGACCACCUGAUGGUUUAGAUUAUUUAUUGGAGUCAUAUAAACCAUGGGUGUGAGUAGAAAAUGUAGUUAAAUCAUCAGUUGUCAAAGUGGGUGAGAAAUGUUCAGUGGUUCUUUUGUUUGUUUACCAAACGACCAAAACUGCAGAAGACGAAAAUGACAAAGGGUGGAAAUGCACAGCAAACUUCUGCAACACUUUUCUAGGGACAAAGGAUAAAAAAACUGGCUUUGGAUAAACUGUCAAAUUUAGUGAAGGUUUAAUUGCUUUACUCAAAUAAAUUUAAGUGUAUUUCUAAUUCAUAAAAAGAUGGAAAUAAA
This is a long non-coding RNA of Girardinichthys multiradiatus, 915 nucleotides long. RefSeq lists it as uncharacterized. The record is from RefSeq and is a predicted model, not a curated record. The transcript is spliced from 2 exons. NCBI's taxonomy places the organism in Eukaryota, Metazoa, Chordata, Actinopteri, Cyprinodontiformes, Goodeidae.